Molecule: ribosomal RNA, 391 nt
Filed under: Robbsia sp.
Lineage: Bacteria; Pseudomonadati; Pseudomonadota; Betaproteobacteria; Burkholderiales; Burkholderiaceae
Description: bacterial SSU rRNA
Rfam family: Bacterial small subunit ribosomal RNA
Source: RNAcentral
CGCCGCGGUAAUACGUAGGGUGCAAGCGUUAAUCGGAAUUACUGGGCGUAAAGCGUGCGCAGGCGGUUUGUUAAGACAGAUGUGAAAUCCCCGGGCUCAACCUGGGAACUGCAUUUGUGACUGGCAAGCUAGAGUAUGGCAGAGGGGGGUGGAAUUCCGCGUGUAGCAGUGAAAUGCGUAGAUAUGCGGAGGAACACCGAUGGCGAAGGCAGCCCCCUGGGCCAAUACUGACGCUCAUGCACGAAAGCGUGGGGAGCAAACAGGAUUAGAUACCCUGGUAGUCCACGCCCUAAACGAUGUCAACUAGUUGUUGGGGAUUCAUUUCCUUAGUAACGUAGCUAACGCGUGAAGUUGACCGCCUGGGGAGUACGGUCGCAAGAUUAAAACUCAA